This 253-nucleotide ribosomal RNA is filed under the name uncultured bacterium. RNAcentral describes it as "partial 16S ribosomal RNA". It matches the Rfam family "Bacterial small subunit ribosomal RNA", at positions 524 to 776 of the family's 1533-position model. The record is from RNAcentral. RNAcentral also lists the same sequence under 1 other name.
UACGUAGGGGGCGAGCGUUGUCCGGAAUCAUUGGGCGUAAAGCGCGUGUAGGCGGCCGACCAAGUCCGGUGUGAAAGCUCAGGGCUCAACCCUGAGUCUGCACUGGAAACUGGCCGGCUUGAGUCCGGAAGAGGAGACUGGAAUUCCUGGUGUAGCGGUGAAAUGCGCAGAUAUCAGGAAGAACACCGGUGGCGAAGGCGGGUCUCUGGGACGGUACUGACGCUGAGACGCGAAAGCGUGGGGAGCAAACAGG